This 1026-nucleotide ribosomal RNA is filed under the name uncultured bacterium. Its description in RNAcentral is "bacterial SSU rRNA". It matches the Rfam family "Bacterial small subunit ribosomal RNA", at positions 353 to 1371 of the family's 1533-position model. The record is from RNAcentral.
AGUGGGGAAUAUUGGACAAUGGGGGCAACCCUGAUCCAGCCAUGCCGCGUGUGUGAAGAAGGCCCUCGGGUUGUAAAGCACUUUCAGCGAGGAAGAACGCCUAGUGGUUAAUACCCAUUAGGAAAGACAUCACUCGCAGAAGAAGCACCGGCUAACUCCGUGCCAGCAGCCGCGGUAAUACGGAGGGUGCAAGCGUUAAUCGGAAUUACUGGGCGUAAAGCGCGCGUAGGUGGCUUGAUAAGCCGGUUGUGAAAGCCCCGGGCUCAACCUGGGAACGGCAUCCGGAACUGUCAGGCUAGAGUGCAGGAGAGGAAGGUAGAAUUCCCGGUGUAGCGGUGAAAUGCGUAGAGAUCGGGAGGAAUACCAGUGGCGAAGGCGGCCUUCUGGACUGACACUGACACUGAGGUGCGAAAGCGUGGGUAGCAAACAGGAUUAGAUACCCUGGUAGUCCACGCCGUAAACGAUGUCGACCAGCCGUUGGGUGCCUAGAGCACUUUGUGGCGAAGUUAACGCGAUAAGUCGACCGCCUGGGGAGUACGGCCGCAAGGUUAAAACUCAAAUGAAUUGACGGGGGCCCGCACAAGCGGUGGAGCAUGUGGUUUAAUUCGAUGCAACGCGAAGAACCUUACCUACCCUUGACAUCUACAGAAGCCGGAAGAGAUUCUGGUGUGCCUUCGGGAACUGUAAGACAGGUGCUGCAUGGCUGUCGUCAGCUCGUGUUGUGAAAUGUUGGGUUAAGUCCCGUAACGAGCGCAACCCUUGUCCUUAUUUGCCAGCGAGUAAUGUCGGGAACUCUAAGGAGACUGCCGGUGACAAACCGGAGGAAGGUGGGGACGACGUCAAGUCAUCAUGGCCCUUACGGGUAGGGCUACACACGUGCUACAAUGGCCGGUACAAAGGGCUGCGAGCUCGCGAGAGUCAGCGAAUCCCUUAAAGCCGGUCUCAGUCCGGAUCGGAGUCUGCAACUCGACUCCGUGAAGUCGGAAUCGCUAGUAAUCGUGAAUCAGAAUGUCACGGUGAAUACGU